Equus caballus (horse) is the source of this 3005-nucleotide non-coding RNA. NCBI's taxonomy places the organism in Eukaryota, Metazoa, Chordata, Mammalia, Perissodactyla, Equidae. The record is from RefSeq and is a predicted model, not a curated record.
GGGACCGGCCUGGGAAGGGUCCCUAUGCCUUAAAAGGGCGCUGUCUCCGCGGGGCGGGCCGGGCAGGGCGGCUGGGGCCGAUUUGCGUGCCGGUGGCUCCCACACCCUUCCCGUCCAGCGUUGGAAUUCCUUCUGUGCUUACCGUGUGCCAAGCGCUGGGCUUUCUGUGUGGUCAUACUCAAUCCUAACAAGCUGAGGAAAAAUGGAAGAGCAAGAGGACGGGAGAGAAGAACGGACGCCGAUAGACGAAAUGCCAGUCUAUAGAGGAACGGUUGAAUACUGACACUGCCACUUGUGAGCUGUGUGACCCCGACGACUUUCUUAACUUCUCCAUCCUCCUUCGCUCAUUCAUUCGCCGAGCAUUGACUGAGCCAUCCAAUGGGCCAGAAAACCUCAGGAGGAGGCAAUUCUCCCUACCUGUUCACCAGCCCAAACGUCUAUUCACCUGGCUUCCAUCAAUGACGCAAACAUGGAUAGAUUGGAGAAUUCAGAAAGGUAAACCAUCAGAAUUGGAGGAAGAGGAGGGUGCAGACAUGUGUCACAAGAAUGGGACUCUCCUGGAUGUUGUCCCAGCAACUGAACCCAUCCACAGAGCAGCCAGACAUUUCCAGGACUUUGAAAAGGACAUCAGAGAGUGCAAGAAGCAAAGCUGUGAUUCUGUGGCUUCUCUCUCCUGGCAACACCAUCAGCAAUCCCUGCCAUUUCCCAGGGGAUUUCAUCCUUUAUUAUUGCCUCCAUUCCUUGCCCACAUGUGAAGAGAUUGUUAACAGCUUGGGCGGUGGCAGUUGACACACUUGGAUUUGAAUUUCUGCUCUGCUACUUACUAAAGGGUGGCUUUGCACAUGCUUAACCUCUCUGGCAUUUCAUCAUCUGCAAAGAGGUAAAAACAAUAGAUAGGUUUAGAGGGGGAGAGUUUCAAAUAGGGACAUGCACGCAAAGUUCUCAGCACAGUGCCUGGCUCGUGGUGUACCCUCAGUAAAAGAUACCGAUUAUUGUCAUUAUUAGCUAUUCAUGUAAAAAAGGUAGCCUAUGACAUCUCCAUUUAAAGUUAGGGAAAAAGAAGGCCAUAGUUGGUGGAGAGAAAGAAUAUGACUUGGCAGUGGUGGCCCAGUAAGGUAGCAACAAAGUCAGAAUACCGUUGGCCUUCAGCUUCCUGCUUUGGCCUUCCUGCCAGAUCCCUGUCUUAAUAGGUACCUCAAGAAUUCCUGGUGAGGCUCAAUAUGGGAUCCCUCUCAACUAGAAGCUUGGUGUUCUGCCCUUCCUUCCAAAAUUUCCGUGCCAGGAUGUUGGUCACCAAUAUGCAUUCGUUUAAGAUUUAUCUGACUGCUGAGAUGAUUUGCAGCAGCUUUCAGAUUAAAAAGUAAAAAUUACAGCAUCAAAGAAUAAAGCAAGAGCUGACUCCAUCUAAAGAAAGCAGAAAGAGUUGCUUCUUUCAGGCACCUGAAUUGGUCAGAACGCUUGGAGGUAAUAAGGUAAUAAAAGUGGGUAUCCCUAUUUGUCAGCUAAAGAAAAAAUGGAAACACUUUGGAUGGCAGAGUUUUUAUUUUCUGACAGCAGAAAAUACACAUCUUCAUCUGCAGAGACAAAAUGUUUCCUGGAAAUAACCCCAAGCAUGAAUUUAUCAUGAGUCCUUGUAUAAAGGACAUGAGUGACAUAGUGGGCAAUAUAUUCAAUUCUGUUUUCAUAAAGACAGAAAUGCCAUUAAGUUGGUCAGUUUCUCACAUCAGGGUUCUCUGAAGACAGAGAGCAUAACAUUAAAUCAUAACUCAGAGAAGGCAUUUCUUUAAGGAACUCAGAUAAUGAAGUCUAGGAAAGACACCUUUGGGUCCAUUCCACAAACAUUACUGAGCAUCUACUCAAGCAUCCAUCCAUCUGUCCAUCCAUCCAUUCUGCAGAGAUCUACUGAGUGCCCACCAUGUACCAGGCAUUCUGAAUGGCACUGGUGAAGACUGCUUGUAAGAGCUGAGCCUGGACUGGAUUUUGAAGGACAAAUAGGAGAUGGCCAGACACAGAAGGAGGAGGAGAACAUUCCAAGGAGAGGCAGCAGCAUGCACAAAGGCCCAGAGAGAAAGGAGAGAGAAAGCGGGAGCACAAGUGCCUCUGAAUGGCUGGAGCAUGGGGCUGGGGCAUGUGGAAACAGGAGGCUAGAGGGGCAGGUAGGGGCAGGUAACGGAGGCUUUUGUAGAGAGGGUCUAGCAGAAAGCUGGGAUUUCACCCUGUGGGCCAUGGCAAAACAUCCCGGGAAGGCAGGAGAGCUGUGAAAUCACGUUAGUGUUUUAAAAGAUAACUGAUGGCAAAGAGGAAGACACACUGAAUGGGGCCAGAGCAGAGCUGGGCACCUGUUAUGUGGCUGUUUUUGUCAGAAACUGGAAAAAGAGACAAUGGGGGCACUGGUUAGGACAUGGGAGAUGUUAAGGAGGCAGAAUUUAGAGGACUUGGGGAUUGCCUGGAUGUAGGGGCUGAGGAAGAGGCUCAGAACCAGGUGGAUGUGGAAACCAUUUCCUUAGGUGGAGGACUGAGCAGAGAGGCAGGUUGAGGUGAAGGUUUAGAAGCGGGCGAGUUCAGUGGUGAGCAGGCUGGGGCAGAGGGUCCUGUGGGACAUCCAAGAGGAGAGAAUGUCAGACACGGUCCAGGCACUAGGGACUCAGGAGACACUUCAGCAGAAGGAUUCUGCCAUAAGGAGCUCCCAGUCCACUAGGGGAGACAAAUGAGAAAGCCAUCAAUUAUACAGAGACCGGGGAGUCGCAGAAGAGAACUAUAUUGCCCCUCCCGCCCUUCCUCUCCACCCCGGACUGCUGCAGAUUCUUCACACUGUGUCUCCCUCCCUGCAUUUGUCCACACUGCUUUCUUCCCGGAAAGUGCCACUUCUCACCUGCCCCUCUCCCCAGGCUGAGCUAGGAGCCCUUCUCAUUUCCAUAACACCCUGUAUUUGUCCCAGAGUUAUUAAUUAUGCUUUGCUGUUUAACUCUCUUCUCAAUAAACUCUGAACCCCCUGAGGGCAGGGA